GACGAACGCUGGCGGCGUGCUUAACACAUGCAAGUCGAGCGGUGAAGCGCCUUCCUUUUUGGUGGGUGUGGAUGAGUGGCGAACGGGUGAGUAACACGUGAGUAACCUGCCCCCUUCUUCUGGAUAACCGCAUGAAAGUGUGGCUAAUACGGGAUAUUCUGGGUCUGUCGCAUGAUGGGUCUGGGAAAGAUAUUGUUUCGGUGGGGGAUGGGCUCGCGGCCUAUCAGCUUGUUGGUGGGGUGAUGGCCUACCAAGGCGGUGACGGGUAGCCGGCCUGAGAGGGUGGACGGUCACACUGGGACUGAGCCACGGCCCAGACUCCUACGGGAGGCAGCAGUGGGGAAUAUUGCACAAUGGGCGCAAGCCUGAUGCAGCGACGCCGCGUGAGGGAUGGAGGCCUUCGGGUUGUGAACCUCUUUCGCCAGUGAAGCAGGCCUGCCUCGUUUGUGGGUGGGUUGACGGUAGCUGGAUAAGAAGCGCCGGCUAACUACGUG
RNAcentral lists this ribosomal RNA (494 nucleotides) under uncultured bacterium. RNAcentral's name for it is "partial 16S ribosomal RNA". It matches the Rfam family "Bacterial small subunit ribosomal RNA", at positions 28 to 507 of the family's 1533-position model. The record is from RNAcentral.